GAAACGGAGAGCUAACCUCUGACUGAGUGCCCGUUUACUCAGUCUGACCACCUGUUGAAGGGCUGUUUGAUGACGAUUUGGACUCCUCUGGGUGAUGAGGACACACCCACAUCUGUUCCAUACUGCAGCCAUGGAUGGUGUUACAGCUCUGAGUCCGCUUUGGGCCAUCAGAUGCACACACUGGAAAACCAGCGCCUGUACUUCAUGCAGGAGAGAUGACCUCAGUGAUAAUUCAUCAGCAGCUGUGAAGAGAUGUAUUUGAAUAUCUUCUGGUUCCACUUUUCUUAACCUGGAAGCUGAGGAUGGCUAAUUCCUGACAAGGACACACACCUCAGCGCUUAUCAUGGGUGUUACAUCCUCUGCGCAGCAAUUCCAGAGAAAACGAGAGAGCAACGACCACACAUUAAGACCAGACAGAAAUCUGUCCCUUUCUGGCAGCUGUGGAAACUUCCAAUAAGAAAGUUUGCAUUCUUAGAACAAUGCUGGGUCAUGUGUGAUGUGUCAUUAUAUGAGGAUAUUACAUUUUAACUUAAUUCUGCUCAAUUAAGUGUUUUGUUCGUUGAUCCAAUAUGGCAGCUUUUAUUGUGCUCCAAGUUAAAACUCAUUGUCCUCAUGAGCACAGCAUCUAACAACUCUCCUUAAAAAGUCGAUUGACUUUAACUGGACACAAUGGUUUCCAGUGGAGAUACAUUCAUCACUCAUCCGUGACACUGGAGAAGUCACCUGAGUGAGUGAUAAAGCAAUUUUCCAUGGAAAAUCCAGAGGAACUAAACUUUGUUGUU
Oreochromis aureus is the source of this 782-nucleotide long non-coding RNA. Lineage: Eukaryota; Metazoa; Chordata; Actinopteri; Cichliformes; Cichlidae. The record is from Ensembl.